Molecule: ribosomal RNA, 296 nt
Filed under: uncultured bacterium
Lineage: Bacteria
Description: partial 16S ribosomal RNA
Rfam family: Bacterial small subunit ribosomal RNA
Source: RNAcentral
AGCUCGUGUCGUGAGACGUUGGGUUAAGUCCCCUAACGAGCGAAACCCUUGUCUUUAGUUGCCAACAGGUAAUGCUGGGCACUCUAAAGAAACUGCCGUCGUCAAGACGGAGGAAGGUGGGGAUGACGUCAAGUCAUCAUGGCCCUUAUAUCCCGGGCUGCACACGUGCUACAAUGGUCGGUACAAAGGGAUGCUAAGCCGCAAGGUGGAGCGAAACCCAGAAAGCCGAUCCCAGUUCAGAUUGGAGGCUGAAACCCGCCUCCAUGAAGUAGGAAUCGCUAGUAAUCGCGGAUCAG